This 1135-nucleotide ribosomal RNA is filed under the name Noviherbaspirillum galbum. Its description in RNAcentral is "Bacterial large subunit ribosomal RNA". It matches the Rfam family "Bacterial large subunit ribosomal RNA", at positions 402 to 1549 of the family's 2925-position model. Lineage: Bacteria; Pseudomonadati; Pseudomonadota; Betaproteobacteria; Burkholderiales; Oxalobacteraceae. The record is from Rfam by way of RNAcentral.
CUUGCGACAAGUAGGGCGGGGCACGUGAAACCCUGUCUGAACAUGGGGGGACCAUCCUCCAAGGCUAAAUACUCGAUAUCGACCGAUAGUGAACCAGUACCGUGAGGGAAAGGCGAAAAGAACCCCGGAAGGGGAGUGAAAUAGAUCCUGAAACCGUGUGCAUACAAACAGUCGGAGCCCUGAAAGGGGUGACGGCGUACCUUUUGUAUAAUGGGUCAGCGACUUACAUUCAGUGGCAAGCUUAACCGAGUAGGGAAGGCGAAGCGAAAGCGAGUCCGAACAGGGCGUCUAGUCGCUGGGUGUAGACCCGAAACCAGAUGAUCUAUCCAUGGCCAGGAUGAAGGUGCCGUAACAGGUACUGGAGGUCCGAACCCACUAGUGUUGAAAAACUAGGGGAUGAGCUGUGGAUAGGGGUGAAAGGCUAAACAAAUCUGGAAAUAGCUGGUUCUCUCCGAAAACUAUUUAGGUAGUGCCUCACGUAUCACCACCGGGGGUAGAGCACUGUUAUGGCUAGGGGGUCAUCGCGACUUACCAACCCAUUGCAAACUCCGAAUACCGGUGAGUGCGAGCGUGGGAGACAGACGUCGGGUGCUAACGUCCGGCGUCAAGAGGGAAACAACCCAGACCGCCAGCUAAGGUCCCCAAGAUUGGCUAAGUGGAAAACGAAGUGGGAAGGCUAAAACAGUCAGGAGGUUGGCUUAGAAGCAGCCAUCCUUUAAAGAAAGCGUAAUAGCUCACUGAUCGAGUCGUCCUGCGCGGAAGAUGUAACGGGGCUAAGCCAGUCACCGAAGCUGCGGAUAUGUGCUUUGCACAUAUGGUAGGAGAGCGUUCUGUAAGCCUGCGAAGGUGUCUUGUAAAGGAUGCUGGAGGUAUCAGAAGUGCGAAUGCUGACAUGAGUAGCGAUAAUGCGGGUGAAAAGCCCGCACGCCGUAAGCCCAAGGUUUCCUGUUCAACGUUCAUCGGAGCAGGGUGAGUCGGCCCCUAAGGCGAGGCAGAGAUGCGUAGCUGAUGGGAAGCAGGUUAAUAUUCCUGCACCGUCGUUAGAUGCGAUGGGGGGACGGAUCGCGGAAGGUUGUCCGGGUGUUGGAUGUCCCGGUUUCUGUAUCGAAGAUGGCGCCUUGGCAAAUCCGGGCGC